GUGCUCGCUUCGGCAGCACAUGUACUAAAACUGGAACGACACAGAGAAGGUUAGCACACCCCUGCGCGAGGAUGCCAGCAAAUUCAUGAUGCGUUCCGUAUUUUU
Molecule: small nuclear RNA, 105 nt
Organism: Fukomys damarensis (Damara mole-rat)
Lineage: Eukaryota; Metazoa; Chordata; Mammalia; Rodentia; Bathyergidae
Source: Ensembl